Juglans regia (Persian walnut) is the source of this 805-nucleotide long non-coding RNA. RefSeq lists it as uncharacterized. The transcript has 4 exons. Lineage: Eukaryota; Viridiplantae; Streptophyta; Magnoliopsida; Fagales; Juglandaceae. The record is from RefSeq and is a predicted model, not a curated record.
AAGUUUCAAGCUAUAUCUUAGUACGUUGGAAUGUUGUUACGUCAAUUGGCUUGCCUUUGUUCAUCUUGCUGGUUGUCAUAUCCGGCGAAAAAAAGGUAAUUCUGCAGAAGGAGAUUGGAAUUGCAAAUUGGAAGUUCAUACCAUCUUCUGUAGUGAAUUUCGGGUGUUUUCUGUUUUGUUGGUAAUAACUUUUGGAGGCUGAAGAAGCUUAAGAACCUCCAGAAGAAGAAUUAGCAUGAUCGGCACCAGAUGGACACGUGUGUCCGGGGCAGAGUCCUGACUAAUCCCAAGGGUACACAGACUCUUGGCAAGAAGUUUCUUGCAAGUGCACCACGGCUCCUAUGGCUGCUAUAAAUUAUUUGAGCCAAGGAUUCAAAUCUUAGACUUUUGGAGAGAGGAUACCACCAAGACCAAAGCUCUUACCACUUGAUCCAACCCCUAGCUAAUUCUGCAUGCGUGUGACUUAGGCCGGCUCCCUCCUCACAGAAGAAUAAUGAAUGAAGAAACUCCGAAGGAGAUCCAAACAGUUCAUUGAAGUAUCACCACCCCACCCCCAGGACAAUGAUGGCAUACCCAGGUUAUUGAGAGAUGAGUCUAGUUCUGUAGAUGCCUCCAUUGGUAAUAGUCAUUUAUUUUGUUUUUCCUUUUAUGUGUUCUUCCGCUUUUCCAGGCAUUGACAUGUAACAAUUAUAUUUGAACUGUCAUUUGAAUAGAGCAUCUCUUAAGUCUUUCCUUCCUUAAAGUCUAAUUAGAUCACUUGCUCAGAUUAUAUGGAUGGAGAAGUAUAUUGAUUGGUGACAUAAUG